GCGGCAGGCCUAACACAUGCAAGUCCCCCUGUAACAGGAAACAGCUUGCUGUUUCGCUGACGAGUGGCGGACGGGUGAGUAAUGUCUGGGAAACUGCCUGAUGGAUUUGGAUAACUACUGGAAACGGUAGCUAAUACCGCAUAACGUCGCAAGACCAAAGAGGGGGACCUUCGGGCCUCUUGCCAUCGGAUGUGCCCAGAUGGGAUUAGCUAGUAGGUGGGGUAACGGCUCACCUAGGCGACGAUCCCUAGCUGGUCUGAGAGGAUGACCAGCCACACUGGAACUGAGACACGGUCCAGACUCCUACGGGAGGCAGCAGUGGGGAAUAUUGCACAAUGGGCGCAAGCCUGAUGCAGCCAUGCCGCGUGUAUGAAGAAGGCCUUCGGGUUGUAAAGUACUUUUUUUUUGGACCAAGGGAGUAAAGUUAAUACCUUUACCCAUUGACGUUACCCGCAGAAGAAGCACCGGCUAACUCCGUGCCAGCAGCCGCGGUAAUACGGAGGGUGCAAGCGUUUAAUCGGAAUUACUGGGCGUAAAGCCCACCCAGGCGGGUUUGUUAAGUCAGAUGUGAAAUCCCCGGGCUCCAACCUGGGAAAUGCAUCUGAUACUGGCAAGCUUGAGUCCUCGUAGAGGGGGGUAGAAUUCCAGGUGUAGCGGUGAAAUGCGUAGAGAUCUGGAGGAAUACCGGUGGCGAAGGCGGCCCCCUGGACGAAGACUGACGCUCAGGUGCGAAAGCGUGGGGAGCAAACAGGAUUAGAUACCCUGGUAGUCCACGCCGUAAACGAUGUCGACUUGGAGGUUGUGCCCUUGAGGCGUGGCUUCCGGAGCUAACGCGUUAAGUCGACCGCCUGGGGAGUACGGCCGCAAGGUUAAAACUCAAAUGAAUUGACGGGGGCCCGCACAAGCGGUGGAGCAUGUGGUUUAAUUCGAUGCAACGCGAAGAACCUUACCUGGUCUUGACAUCCACGGAAGUUUUCAGAGAUGAGAAUGUGCCUUCGGGAACCGUGAGACAGGUGCUGCAUGGCUGUCGUCAGCUCGUGUUGUGAAAUGUUGGGUUAAGUCCCGCAACGAGCGCAACCCUUAUCCUUUGUUGCCAGCGGUCCGGCCGGGAACUCAAAGGAGACUGCCAGUGAUAAACUGGAGGAAGGUGGGGAUGACGUCAAGUCAUCAUGGCCCUUACGACCAGGGCUACACACGUGCUACAAUGGCGCAUACAAAGAGAAGCGACCUCGCGAGAGCAAGCGGACCUCAUAAAGUGCGUCGUAGUCCGGAUUGGAGUCUGCAACUCGACUCCAUGAAGUCGGAAUCGCUAGUAAUCGUGGAUCAGAAUGCCACGGUGAAUACGUUCCCGGGCCUUGUACACACCGCCCGUCACACCAUGGGAGUGGGUUGCAAAAGAAGUAGGUAGCUUAACCUUCGGGAGGGCGCUUACCACUUUGUGAUUCAUAA
This 1449-nucleotide ribosomal RNA is filed under the name synthetic construct. Its description in RNAcentral is "bacterial SSU rRNA". It matches the Rfam family "Bacterial small subunit ribosomal RNA". The record is from RNAcentral. RNAcentral also lists the same sequence under 1 other name.